RNAcentral lists this ribosomal RNA (493 nucleotides) under uncultured bacterium. RNAcentral describes it as "bacterial SSU rRNA". It matches the Rfam family "Bacterial small subunit ribosomal RNA", at positions 903 to 1397 of the family's 1533-position model. The record is from RNAcentral.
AAAUGAAUAGACGGGGACUCGCACAAGCGGUGGAGCAUGCGGUUUAAUUCGAUGCAACGCGAAGAACCUUACCAGGUCUUGACAUCCCACUGACCGAUCUAGAGAUAGGUCUUCCCUUCGGGGCAGUGGUGACAGGUGGUGCAUGGUUGUCGUCAGCUCGUGUCGUGAGAUGUUGGGUUAAGUCCCGCAACGAGCGCAACCCUUAUCAUUAGUUGCUACCAUUAAGUUGAGCACUCUAAUGAGACCGCCGGUGACAAACCGGAUGAAGGUGGGGAUGACGUCAAAUCAUCAUGCCCCUUAUGACCUGGGCUACACGCGUGCUACAAUGGCUAGUACAAAGAGUUGCAAUACCGCGAGGUGGAGCUAAUCUCAUAAAGCUAGUCUCAGUUCGGAUUGUAGUCUGCAACUCGACUACAUGAAGUUGGAAUCGCUAGUAAUCGCGAAUCAGAAUGUCGCGGUGAAUACGUUCUCGAGUCUUGUACACACCGCCCGU